This 559-nucleotide ribosomal RNA is filed under the name Firmicutes bacterium enrichment culture clone CTBE CDB1006E09. RNAcentral's name for it is "bacterial SSU rRNA". It matches the Rfam family "Bacterial small subunit ribosomal RNA", at positions 42 to 592 of the family's 1533-position model. Lineage: Bacteria; Bacillati; Bacillota. The record is from RNAcentral.
GGAUGCUAAUACUGCAAGUCGAGCGGAUUAUUCCUUCGGGGAUAGCUUAGCGGCGGACGGGUGAGUAACACGUAGGCAACCUGCCCACAAGACCGGGAUAACAUUCGGAAACGAAUGCUAAGACCGGAUACGCAAGCCUGGGGCAUCCCGGGCUUGGGAAACACGGCGCAAGCUGUGGCUUGUGGAUGGGCCUGCGGCGCAUUAGCUAGUUGGCGGGGUAACGGCCCACCAAGGCGACGAUGCGUAGCCGACCUGAGAGGGUGAACGGCCACACUGGGACUGAGACACGGCCCAGACUCCUACGGGAGGCAGCAGUAGGGAAUCUUCCACAAUGGGCGAAAGCCUGAUGGAGCAACGCCGCGUGAGUGAGGAAGGCUUUCGGGUCGUAAAGCUCUGUUGCCAGGGAAGAAUAAGGGCCAGUUAACUGCUGGUCCGAUGACGGUACCUGAGAAGAAAGCCCCGGCUAACUACGUGCCAGCAGCCGCGGUAAUACGUAGGGGGCAAGCGUUGUCCGGAAUUAUUGGGCGUAAAGCGCGCGCAGGAUCGAAUUCCCGCGGCC